AGCUUAAUAGUUUAAUAAAAUAUAUAUUUUGAAAAUAUAAGUAGAGGUUAACUCAUUUGCUUCACUU
RNAcentral lists this transfer RNA (67 nucleotides) under Myrmedobia distinguenda. Its description in RNAcentral is "tRNA-Ser". The record is from RNAcentral. Lineage: Eukaryota; Metazoa; Arthropoda; Insecta; Hemiptera; Microphysidae.